UCACCUGAUAUAUUUUAUGACAGUUGAGAAAAGCAUAUAAAUAUUUGAACCUCCAGAGGACAGAUAUAACAUUCAACUUUGAGCUUCAAGUAUCUCAUUCUACAACCGUAAAGAUGAAAUUUGCAUCAGCCUUCAUCGUGGCACUUGCUACCUUUAUGGCAUUCGUUGAUUUCACGGUUGCCGAACCCAAACCUCAACCUCCAGACCCAGACCGGUCAAAUUGGCGCCAUUAGCUAACUCUCUGACAUUUCUCGAUUUCACGAUUGCCAAACCUGUCCACUCUUGAACCUGAUGUCAUGCAAGAUGUGCCUGUUUCGCAAUAAAGAGAAAUAAAACUUCAUGAAAAUAUAAAA
This is a long non-coding RNA of Macrosteles quadrilineatus (aster leafhopper), 353 nucleotides long. RefSeq lists it as uncharacterized. Lineage: Eukaryota; Metazoa; Arthropoda; Insecta; Hemiptera; Cicadellidae. The record is from RefSeq and is a predicted model, not a curated record. The transcript has 4 exons.